This 327-nucleotide ribosomal RNA is filed under the name uncultured eukaryote. RNAcentral describes it as "partial 18S ribosomal RNA". It matches the Rfam family "Eukaryotic small subunit ribosomal RNA", at positions 1470 to 1796 of the family's 1831-position model. The record is from RNAcentral.
CCCUUAGAUGUUCUGGGCCGCACACGCGCUACACUGAAGGAGGCAGCGUGUACUCCUGGAUCGAAAGAUUUGGGUAACCCGCGAAUCUCCUUCGUGCUAGGGAUUGAGGUUUGCAAUUAUCCUUCAUGAACGAGGAAUUCCCAGUAAGUGCAAGUCAUAAGCUUGCGCUGACUACGUCCCUGCCCUUUGUACACACCGCCCGUCGCUACUACCGAUUGAAUGAUUUAGUGAGGACUUCGGACUGGGACCGAUGCGGCUUUCGGGCUGCGUCGGUAUUCUGGAAAGAUGUCCAAACUGUAUCAUUUAGAGGAAGUAAAAGUCGUAACA